AGUGAACGCUGGCGGUAGGCCUAACACAUGCAAGUCGAACGGCAGCACAGUAAGAGCUUGCUCUUACGGGUGGCGAGUGGCGGACGGGUGAGGAAUACAUCGGAAUCUACUUUUUCGUGGGGGAUAACGUAGGGAAACUUACGCUAAUACCGCAUACGACCUACGGGUGAAAGCCGGGGAUCUUCGGACCUUGCGCGAUUGAAUGAGCCGAUGUCGGAUUAGCUAGUUGGCGGGGUAAAGGCCCACCAAGGCGACGAUCCGUAGCUGGUCUGAGAGGAUGAUCAGCCACACUGGAACUGAGACACGGUCCAGACUCCUACGGGAGGCAGCAGUGGGGAAUAUUGGACAAUGGGCGCAAGCCUGAUCCAGCCAUACCGCGUGGGUGAAGAAGGCCUUCGGGUUGUAAAGACCUUUUGUUGGGAAAGAAAAGCAGCAGGUUAAUACCCCGCUGUUCUGACGGUACCCAAAGAAUAAGCACCGGCUAACUUCGUG
RNAcentral lists this ribosomal RNA (492 nucleotides) under uncultured bacterium. RNAcentral describes it as "partial 16S ribosomal RNA". It matches the Rfam family "Bacterial small subunit ribosomal RNA", at positions 29 to 507 of the family's 1533-position model. The record is from RNAcentral.